AAAUAGCCCCGAUUGCAGUGGUAAUCCUUUUUUUGUUAGGUAAUUGGUGUGGAGGCAAAAAAGAUAGUAACGGAAAGCGAGACUUUGG
This 88-nucleotide small RNA is filed under the name Balneicella halophila. RNAcentral's name for it is "Flavo-1 RNA". It matches the Rfam family "Flavo-1 RNA". The record is from Rfam by way of RNAcentral. Lineage: Bacteria; Pseudomonadati; Bacteroidota; Bacteroidia; Bacteroidales; Balneicellaceae.